CCCUGCGUAGCCCAAUGGUAGAGCGACCGGCUGUAGAAUUACCAAGUGCUGUUUAUCAGUGCAAUGAAGAGUUUCAGCUGUAGAAACCGGUAGGUUGCGGGUUCAAAUCCGGCCGCAGGGA
RNAcentral lists this transfer RNA (121 nucleotides) under Candidatus Parvarchaeum acidophilus ARMAN-5. It matches the Rfam family "tRNA". From Rfam's summary of the family: Transfer RNA (tRNA) molecules are approximately 80 nucleotides in length. The record is from Rfam by way of RNAcentral. Lineage: Archaea; Nanobdellati; Candidatus Parvarchaeota.